Long non-coding RNA from Esox lucius (northern pike), 332 nucleotides. NCBI's taxonomy places the organism in Eukaryota, Metazoa, Chordata, Actinopteri, Esociformes, Esocidae. The record is from Ensembl.
AUGCAGAAAAAAGAGCGAGAGAACACGAAUAUUUUAUCGGGUGGAGAUAUCCAGGUGUAUUACUGUGCAGUGGACCUAAAGAGCAGACCCGAGGGAAGAUUGAGGGCCACUAGGUUCUUAUCUGCACCUGCUGCAUCAUGGGUAACUUCGCUGGCAAGGACGGCCAUGGCCUUACAGGGUCUCGUUUGGAUAUGUUCCACACUCCGCCCUCCUCCCCGUCUGAUUCAGACCUAGCCGUGGCUCGGCUGCUGCAGCAGGGCACGCCGUCCUCCGGUGCCGCCCAGGGCAUCGCCUGGCAUGGCGGAGCCUCCGCCAUCUCCGACUGGAGUCAC